GCAUUGGUGGUUUAGUGGUAGAAUCCUCGCCUGCCACGCGGGGUGCCUGGGGAUUCCCGGCCAAUGCA
Ciona intestinalis (vase tunicate) is the source of this 68-nucleotide non-coding RNA. NCBI's taxonomy places the organism in Eukaryota, Metazoa, Chordata, Ascidiacea, Phlebobranchia, Cionidae. The record is from Rfam.